RNAcentral lists this long non-coding RNA (3977 nucleotides) under Sorghum bicolor (sorghum). RNAcentral's name for it is "long non-coding RNA (SBIC_LNC000811)". The record is from RNAcentral. Lineage: Eukaryota; Viridiplantae; Streptophyta; Magnoliopsida; Poales; Poaceae.
GUACAAGCUUGGAGUAGACACCGACAGGCCGGGCUUCCUCCACUCUAUACCUCCACUCUAUCUCUCUCAAUCUAGUAGAAACUAGAAGAUCUAUUUCUACCUUACAUUGAUUGCUAAGCCUAAAAAGAAAUAUUAAUUAGAGAAGAGGUUUUCCUUCGAGGGCACCCCUCAGUCUCUAUGAUAAUUUCUUCAUGUCUUCCAGGGGCCAGGGGAGCCUCGCUUAUAUAGUCCUCCCCUUCUAUGCGUUUUUGGGUCGAUAGCCGAGGUGGUACUAUGUUUUUCUUGAUCCAAUAGGUCGGUGGAAUAUCCCGAGCGAAGGAGUCCUGAAUUGGCUCCAGCAGGGGGGCGGGCGCCCAGGCUUCCAGGGCGGGCGCCCUGGGCCUGGCCCAGCUUCGCCUCCGCUUCGGUCUCGUGGCUUCUGGAGUCUUCUAGAUGAUGUAGAAUUGCGCGGUGCGUUGAUAUCUCUAUGUAAUCCCGACAUGUGGGCCUUUCUUCCUUAUUUCCUGAUAACCCCCUGCAGAAAUAGAUAAACAACAAAACUCGUGGAAUUCUGUCAGAUCAAACCCUAAUUCUAGGUGAUGGUUGCAUAUUGGUCCUUUCUCUUGUUUAUUUGAUAAUUAAAAUUGAUACUUAAGAACCGUCAACAAAUACCCCCAUACUUAGGCUUUUACUCGUCCUCGAGAAAAGGAUGGUUAAGAAAAAUAUCUGGGGUAAACAUUUGAAACAUUCUCUUUACAAUUGUAGGGUGUUAAAAAAUUCCACUGUGUACCAUAGUCAGGGAAGUAUAAGAGUAGAGAUCCUUUCUUCUCAAUCCUGUCACUUGGAGUUUUUUUUUGUAUAUUUUUGAAAGAAAGUUAGCAUACCUUUUGAUCCUCAUCGGUUCUCUCAGAUCACUCAUUAUCUUUUAUAUAUAUAUCUCACUGAGGCUGUUUUAUUUUGCAAAAAUUCUCAAGCAUACUUAUUUUGGAUUUAUUGCCUGAUCAAAACGGGAUCCGAGGAGGGAAAUGUCAUACUCUUAGAUCAAAGACUUUGGAAAUUAAAAACUUUGUCAACUCUUGCUGGCAUAUUGCUUAUUAGAAGGACCAUGGGCUAUCAUUUAUUUUAUUUUAUUUUAUUUUUUUUAUGUGGAUACCGAGGUACCCCUAAUUCUACUGCCGGACACUUGUCCAUUUUUUUCUGCGAGGUUGUCGAGCACUUGCUCCUUUUUAUUUCCUCGAAAUAUCUCUAUUUUUGCAUAGCCCAUGCCUCUAAUGCAAUAAUACUUCGGAAGAGUGAAUCUUACUGAAAUAGUGUCUUGAUCUUAGAAGCAUGAUAAAUCUCUCAACAAGGGUCUAACUCAUUUUGAACAAACUCAAUACAGAGCAGAUAGCUUUUAUAAUCAUAUUUAAUAUUUCAGUUUUAUCAGGCAUAUAAAACACUGAGGAUGGUAGCUAGGAAUUUGAACAUUUUGAAAUAAAUUCUCCAAGCAACAAUGAUAUCAACAAUAAGAAACUUCAUACUCUACCAUCACAUAUUCCAUCUUGACUUAAGUAACACAGGUUUUUUUUUUAAAAAAUGAUUUUAUACUAAUUGCAAGUUUUCAGGAAAUAUCACAGAUUGAGAUUAAUCAUGAUUAGAAAUAUUUUAAUCUUUUUAUUUUAUCAUGUCGGGAACAAUAUUCUGCAUAAUCUAAAAUAUAUAUAUGUGUAGAGUAAAGUGUGCAGAGUGUGUACCUGAAUCGUGGAGUGGUGUAGUCGGAGUGUGUUUAGCAUGUCGAGGGAUCUCCCCCAUACUUGUUUUCUGCUUUCUUGCACAAAAAUAAAGUAGAGACACACAAGACAUAAUAAUAAUACUCUUUAUUGAUCUUGAGGCAUUUAUUACACAAGGAAGAACAAAAUUAUUUUUGGCUAUUCUCUCCCGGAUUAGGAGUAGAAUAUUUUUGGGUGAUUUUGAAGAUGGAAAUGUAUGGAUAUAUGUGGAUGGUACUUCCGGAGUAGAAGUAGCAUGUGUGAGUGAACGUGCAAGUGAAUCUUGAUUUAACCACAUGACAAGCUCCUAAGGGUCUACACAGCUUGACCACGCUCAAUGCUCAUAAGCAGUAAAAAGUAAUUGUGUGGCUCGAAGUCUAGCAAGCAUGUAUAUAUGGCUGUGGUAGGAAUUUAAACUCUCAUCAUACAGGAACUCAUCAUGCCACAUUUUAAAGAUUUCCAAAGAUAAAAUUCUCCAGAAUUCUAGCAUCUCUAGAAACAGAUAAACAGCAGCUCAACCUUCCCAUAUCAAGUUUUCAUCCCACAAGUUUAGGUCUAGAGCAAGCUUUAAAUUAUAACAGUUAUGUCUAAACUUGAGAGAGAACUUAAAAUGUGCAAAUUAGGCAGAGCAACUAUUCAUCAUUUCCAUGCUUGAGUUUUAUUUAGAUACAGAUUAGCAUAGCCACUUUAUUUAUUUAUUAAACACACUAAGCAAAAGACAUAUAUAUAUAAGCAUAAAAUCUUUAUUUGGUUUUUCAUAGUUAUGUAUAUUUAUAUUCUAAAAGAAUAUAAGUAUAGAGAUAGAUAGAUAGAAAUACUUAUCGAGAUAAAUGGGGUGCUCUCCCCCAAGCUGAAUUUUGACGUAAUUUCUCUUGAUGUAGCUAGCAGGUGGCAGAGGUGUAUUUGAAAGUCAGCAGCAUUGUGACAGCGAUUAGAAUAUCCUCCGUCUGCCAGUCUUCUUGAUUCUUAGAUUCCGUGGAGCUCAAAUAGACAACAAAGCUUGUGGAACUAAUUAAGUGUUAGCAUAAAUAUCUAGCCUUUAUCAUAUUGAGACUCCUUAAUAAUUAUUACUCCCUGUUUUUAUAUUUUUAUUUUAUAAAGCAGAAAAAUAUUUUUAUUUUAUUUUUAUGUCACCACAGUGAAUGUACUUAUGGGUUUUAUGCCACUCGUAUCCUCACAUGGGGCUUACUGUUUUUCACAUUUUUACUUUCUGUUUAGAACUUAAUUAACUAAGUGAACUACUUGAAAUAAUUGAAAGGGAAAGGAUAACUACCAAGUUUACCUCUUAGCAAGGCGUUCGGUGUUUAUAAGUCCUCCGAACGGGACUCUCCUCCUUCUCAAUUAUCCUGAGGUUCAUUGGGUGGCGUAGUCGGUACUUCCGGCAGCGCCUCCUCUUCAUGUAUAGUUAUCUUCAUUUUCCACACCUGACUUGGUGCUUCGGUCUCCUCUGGAUAAUUCUGUUUAAACUCAACGUCUUCUGACCUUACAAUUUCUCCUUCGUAGUCUGCCCAUCCGUCCUUGAUGAUUUGCCUCCUCUGGUUGCGGUUGCGUCGUCUUCUUCUUGUCCUGACCUGCUUAGAAUCUUCAACUAUAUAGUUAGAAUCAUUAAAGUAAUGGCGAACCUUCUCAGAGGCGAAAUACACGUGGACUUCUCCGGUUCCAAUGUAGAUGAUAACUUGGAUAGUGUUGAGGAAUGGUCUUCCAAGGAUGAUGGGUGGAUCGUACUCGUCUUCUCCUAUAUCAAUGUUCUGAAAAUCAUCUGGAGCUAAAUAUAUAUUGGUUGUAGGGGCAUGGUUCCAUGCAGGAGCUGAUAAGUGACUGCGGCCAUUAUGUUGACGUCAGGUCCGGUGUCGUAGAGUGUCUUCUAAAAAUAGUAUCUGUUGAUUGUGCAUUCGAUUCUUGGAACACCAGGGUCGUCCUUCUUGAUCAAGAAAGGUGACUUGAGUCGACGAUCUUGACCUCCUUGAGCUGCAGUGACCAUCUUAGCUGACUCGGUCCACAUUUGCUUGUUCCUGUUCCUCCUGUUGGUCCUCUUCCUUGGUUCAUGUUGGGAUUGCUCUGAAGUUUAUGUAGUCUUGUUCUUGAAGGAAAGUCUCCUUCUUCCCCUUGAUGUAGAGACUGAUCUUGGCAGCAUUAGCGUAGAUGACAGCUCUGGUGUUUAGGAAUGGCCUCCCUAAGAUAAUGGGUGCCCUCUCCUCAGUACCAGUCUCUACCACCACGAAGUUUGCUGGAGCGUACAAGGUACCAACU